UACGGAGGGUGCAAGCGUUAAUCGGAAUUACUGGGCGUAAAGCGCACGCAGGUGGCUGAGUCAGUCGAUUGUGAAAGCCCUGGGCUUAACCUGGGAAUUGCAGUCGAUACUACUCAGCUAGAGUAUGGGAGAGGGCAGUGGAAUUCCCGGUGUAGCGGUGAAAUGCGUAGAUAUCAGGAAGAACACCCGUGGCUAAGGCGGCUCUCUAGUACGGUACUGACGCUGAGACGCGAAAGCGUGGGGAGCGAACAGG
This 253-nucleotide ribosomal RNA is filed under the name uncultured bacterium. RNAcentral's name for it is "partial 16S ribosomal RNA". It matches the Rfam family "Bacterial small subunit ribosomal RNA", at positions 524 to 776 of the family's 1533-position model. The record is from RNAcentral.